Molecule: ribosomal RNA, 151 nt
Filed under: Rhizophagus irregularis
Lineage: Eukaryota; Fungi; Glomeromycota; Glomeromycetes; Glomerales; Glomeraceae
Description: 5.8S ribosomal RNA
Rfam family: 5.8S ribosomal RNA
About the family: 5.8S ribosomal RNA (5.8S rRNA) is a component of the large subunit of the eukaryotic ribosome. It is transcribed by RNA polymerase I as part of the 45S precursor that also contains 18S and 28S rRNA.
Source: RNAcentral
UCACUUUCAACAACGGAUCUCUUGGCUCUCGCAUCGAUGAAGAACGUAGCGAAGUGCGAUAAGUAGUGUGAAUUGCAGAAUUCCGUGAAUCAUCGAAUCUUUGAACGCAAAUUGCACUCUCCUCGGGGAGUAUGCCUGUUUGAGGGUCAGU